GGAGAUGAUUUGAAGCGGUGCUACAAUCUACAGUGGUCGGUGGACAAGUGUGAUGGACACCAGAGCCAGAUGCUUUAGUUCACACUAUGACUGUGACUGAUGUACCUCUGCAACAAACUGACUGUCUUACUUGUAACCUGAUUGGAGGACGGUCUAGGGAAGGAUAUAGGAAUUAAGCUUACUUCACAGCUAUACUCUGCAAAAGUACCUUCAGCGAAUAAGACGUCAACAUCCAUCUUGUUUAUAUCAAUGAUUGUGGACAUUACUUUUGUAUUCUUUGUAAUUUAAUUCUCUGACGUUGUAUUCUCUUAAUACAUUGCGUUUGCUAAAAUUCUUGUGUGUAAGCUUUAGAACUCUAGAUGUCAAACACAGAUUUACGGCCAAGUGUCAACCCGGGGUUUGAAGCACGUUAUACUAGUUUCAACUUUUAUCAGACUGAUCCAUCGAUUUCAGCUAUGACA
Bolinopsis microptera is the source of this 461-nucleotide long non-coding RNA. RefSeq lists it as uncharacterized. The transcript is spliced from 2 exons. Lineage: Eukaryota; Metazoa; Ctenophora; Tentaculata; Lobata; Bolinopsidae. The record is from RefSeq and is a predicted model, not a curated record.